UGCAGAAUCCCGUGAACCAUCGAGUCUUUGAACGCAAGUUGCGCCCGAAUCCAUCUGGUUGAGGGCACGUCUGCCUGGGUGUCACGUACACAUGCCUCCCGCAAACCUUCCCCUUUUUGUGGACGAAGGGUCUAGCGGGAGCAGAUGAUGGUAUCCCGUGCCCUUUCUGCGCGGCUUGCCUAAAAAUGGAGAUUCGGCGACGAAACGUCACGUCUAGUGGUGGUUGAUGAGGCCUAACGGCCGACCAGUUCGCGGCGUGAUCGUUUGUCGCACGAAAGUCUCGGACGACACCUUGGACGCCCUAUAACGGGCGUGCUACUGUCGCGACCCCAGGUCAGGCGGGACUACCCGCUGAAUUUAAGCAUAUCAAUAAGCGGAGGAAGAGAAACUUACAAGGAUUCCCUUAGUAGCGGCGAGCGAACCGGGAAGAGCCCAGCUUGUAAAUCGGGCAGUCUCGCUGUCUGA
Molecule: ribosomal RNA, 465 nt
Filed under: Saxifraga aizoides
Lineage: Eukaryota; Viridiplantae; Streptophyta; Magnoliopsida; Saxifragales; Saxifragaceae
Description: eukaryotic LSU rRNA
Rfam family: Eukaryotic large subunit ribosomal RNA (bases 325-465)
Source: RNAcentral